AACGAACGCUGGCGGCAUGCCUAACACAUGCAAGUCGAACGAAGGUUUCGGCCUUAGUGGCGCACGGGUGCGUAACACGUGGGAAUCUGCCCUUUGCUUCGGAAUAACAGUUAGAAAUGACUGCUAAUACCGGAUAAUGUCGCAAGACCAAAGAUUUAUCGGCAAAGGAUGAGCCCGCGUAAGAUUAGGUAGUUGGUGGGGUAAUGGCCUACCAAGCCGACGAUCUUUAGCUGGUCUGAGAGGAUGAUCAGCCACACUGGGACUGAGACACGGCCCAGACUCCUACGGGAGGCAGCAGUGGGGAAUAUUGGACAAUGGGCGAAAGCCUGAUCCAGCAAUGCCGCGUGAGUGAUGAAGGCCUUAGGGUUGUAAAGCUCUUUUACCCGGGAUGAUAAUGACAGUACCGGGAGAAUAAGCUCCGGCUAACUCCGUGCCAGCCGCCGCCGUAA
RNAcentral lists this ribosomal RNA (449 nucleotides) under uncultured bacterium. Its description in RNAcentral is "partial 16S ribosomal RNA". It matches the Rfam family "Bacterial small subunit ribosomal RNA", at positions 29 to 523 of the family's 1533-position model. The record is from RNAcentral.